This 761-nucleotide ribosomal RNA is filed under the name uncultured bacterium. RNAcentral describes it as "bacterial SSU rRNA". It matches the Rfam family "Bacterial small subunit ribosomal RNA", at positions 8 to 778 of the family's 1533-position model. The record is from RNAcentral.
AGAGUUUGAUCCUGGCUCAGGACGAACGCUGGCGGCGUGCCUAACACAUGCAAGUCGAACGGGGUUAUCGGGCAGCUUGCUGCCCGAGACACCUAGUGGCGCACGGGUGAGUAACACGUGGGCAACCUACCCAGAAGACCGGGACAACACUUCGAAAGGGGUGCUAAUACCGGAUACGCUCGCUGAGUCGCAUGAUUUGGCGGGGAAAGAAUUUUCGCUUUUGGAUGGGCCCGCGUCCCAUUAGCUAGUUGGUGAGGUAAUGGCUCACCAAGGCAACGAUGGGUAGCUGGUCUGAGAGGACGAUCAGCCACACUGGAACUGAGACACGGUCCAGACUCCUACGGGAGGCAGCAGUGGGGAAUCUUGCGCAAUGGGCGGAAGCCUGACGCAGCAACGCCGCGUGAACGAAGAAGGCCUUCGGGUUGUAAAGUUCUGUCAGGGGGGACGAAGAGUUGACGGUACCCCCAGAGGAAGCCCCGGCUAACUACGUGCCAGCAGCCGCGGUAACACGUAGGGGGCGAGCGUUGUCCGGAAUUACUGGGCGUAAAGGGCGUGUAGGCGGCCGAUCAAGUCAGGUGUGAAAAAUCAGGGCUUAACCCUGAUCGUGCACUUGAAACUGGUUGGCUUGAGUGCAGGAGAGGAAAGUGGAAUUCCCAGUGUAGCGGUGAAAUGCGUAGAUAUUGGGAGGAACACCAGUGGCGAAGGCGACUUUCUGGACUGCACUGACGCUGAGGCGCGAAAGCUAGGGGAGCAAACAGGAU